GACGAACCGAGCGAACGUUGUUCGGAAUCACUGGGCUUAAAGGGCGCGUAGGCGGGCUGCCGCGUCCGGGGUGAAAUCCCACGGCUCAACCGUGGAACGGCCCCGGGUACGGGCGGCCUCGAGGGGGGUAGGGGCGUGCGGAACUGUGGGUGGAGCGGUGAAAUGCGUUGAGAUCCACAGGAACUCCGGUGGCGAAGGCGGCACGCUGGACCCCCACUGACGCUGAGGCGCGAAAGCCAGGGGAGCGAACGGG
This 253-nucleotide ribosomal RNA is filed under the name uncultured bacterium. RNAcentral's name for it is "partial 16S ribosomal RNA". It matches the Rfam family "Bacterial small subunit ribosomal RNA", at positions 524 to 776 of the family's 1533-position model. The record is from RNAcentral.